This 76-nucleotide transfer RNA is filed under the name Anguilla anguilla (European eel). RNAcentral describes it as "tRNA-Leu". It matches the Rfam family "tRNA". From Rfam's summary of the family: Transfer RNA (tRNA) molecules are approximately 80 nucleotides in length. Their secondary structure includes four short double-helical elements and three loops (D, anti-codon, and T loops). Further hydrogen bonds mediate the characteristic L-shaped molecular structure. tRNAs have two regions of fundamental functional importance: the anti-codon, which is responsible for specific mRNA codon recognition, and the 3' end, to which the tRNAs corresponding amino acid is attached (by aminoacyl-tRNA synthetases). tRNAs cope with the degeneracy of the genetic code in two manners: having more than one tRNA (with a specific anti-codon) for a particular amino acid; and 'wobble' base-pairing, i.e. permitting non-standard base-pairing at the 3rd anti-codon position. Lineage: Eukaryota; Metazoa; Chordata; Actinopteri; Anguilliformes; Anguillidae. The record is from RNAcentral. RNAcentral also lists the same sequence under 11 other names.
GCUAAGGUGGCAGAGCCCGGUAAUUGCAGAAGGCCUAAGACCUUCCACCCAGGGGUUCAACUCCCCUCCUUCAGCU